RNAcentral lists this long non-coding RNA (1867 nucleotides) under Heterocephalus glaber (naked mole-rat). RNAcentral's name for it is "lncRNA (ENSHGLG00100039853.1)". Lineage: Eukaryota; Metazoa; Chordata; Mammalia; Rodentia; Bathyergidae. The record is from RNAcentral.
ACAGAACACAGAGCACAGAACAGGUUGUUUUCAACAUAGAGAUAAGACCACAAAGCUCAACAUCUUCCCAGAGCCAAGUCACCUGAUAACAUCCAUAAUCUGCCUUGACUGCUUCAUCCAACCAUAAAUAUUUGCUCCGACCCCUGUAUAUGACACACAUGCCAGACCCCUCUUCCAACGCCCUAUUAAGCGCCCUGCUUUUCUUUGUUCGGCACUGACAGCUAAUUGAUGCCCUCGGUCCACCUGCACCCAGAACAGAAGUAAAAAUUGGAGAGAAAAAAAUGUCCGCCUGAGGAGACCCACAAGUUCUGCGCGGGCAUCGAAGCCUGCCUGGAGGAAGGCGGUCCGAGGGAACUUUUGCCGGAGGCUGGACCUGUGAGGAGGGGCCGAAGAUGAAGCCCCAACAACAGCGCAUGGCCGACAAGGAGCUGAGCGACCUGCUGGACUUCAGUGCGGGGCUCUCCCACCUGUCAACAGUGGGGAAACCAGACCGACGACCCGGGGAGCAGUCAGCUCAGGGGAUCAGAACUCAGAAGGUGGUGAAACACUUCCACCUUUCUUUAGGAGGCCAGAAUUAACCUGAUUAUGUAAAACCUGAUGAACAGUGAACCAUAAAGGAAGGGCAAAGGAAAACUAUGGACCAAUUUACCUCAUGAACAGAUUGCAGAAAUCCUCAAAGAAAGAGCAAAUUAAAUUCCACUGUUCCUAAAAGGAAAAUCAUAAUCCAAACAAACUACCGCUAACAUCAUACUAAAUGGUGAAGGAAUGAAAGUUUUCUUCCAUGAACAAGAACAAAGCAAGAAUGUCUACUCUUAACCUCGCUGCAGUUCAGUAGUUUACUAGAAACUCCUGGUCAGCAUUAACAUGGCAACAAAAGGAAAUAAAAGAGGAGGAGACUGGGAAAGAAGAAAUAAAACUGUUCCCAUUGACAGACAACAUGAUUGUCCCAAAGAAUCUUCAAAAACCUAGAGUUUAGCAAGGUCACAGGAUAUGAGAUGGCCACCCAUCCCCACCCCGAUCCCAGUCUUAAUUCUCUAUACAUUUGGCCCUUCAUUUCUUCAGGUUCAUUGUCUGCAGAUUCAACCAACCAUGGAUUAAAAAUGACUCCAACAGAUAUCCAAGUCAUCUGUGACACGACCUCUCAGAACCACAAAGGCAUUUUGAAAGACUUCUUCAGCCAUCCAGGGCGCUAAUACCUAAUUCAUUUGCACCUUGAUGUCCAUACACCUGCUCCUACCUCAAAUUACCAAUGCAUCGCUAUCACUUCAAGUAUCUAUUUCUUAGAUAUCCCUUAUUUAUUGAUUGAUUGAUUGAUUGAUUGAUACCGGGAUCGAACUCAGGUCCUUGCUCUUGUGCAGCAGGUGGCAAAACCACUGAGCUAAAUCCCUGGCCCAGCUAUCCCUUAUUUAAACUGUUGCCUCAGUAACUUUAACUUUUUCUCCUCUUUGUCUUUUUGGAAUACAUUAUACAUCUAAUAUCUUACUGAAAUAUUUACAAUAUAGGACAUCAGUCAACCUGAAAUUAUGUCCGUAUAGAGAAUGUAUGUGAAUAAUAUAUUAAUAGCUGCUAAGCCUUUUGUAUUUUUCAUAAUUUGAGGAUGCUUUGGAAAAAGUCUGACUUUUUAAAUUUUUUUUGCCAUGUGAGAAUCUUCCACUGAUUACCAGGGAGAGUGACUAUACUUUGUCUAAAAUGAUAAGCCAGAUGUAGAAAAUUCCUCAAAUAAAACUGAGAUCCACCAUAACUUUGUCAACAAUUUAGUGCUGGAUUCAAAUUCUUCUUUUCAGCCAAAAUACACCCAUUAGGUACUCAUAGAAGAUAUGUGAAAUGCAUAAAGAGCAUCAAAGAAAUGCAGACAAGCACAGCCUAG